GGGUUGCAUUGAAUGCACCGAUUCGGGCCGGAACCGAAACGAACUACCGAUUCGCGCCAGAAACGAAACGAACGCACCCAAUCCACUUUUUUGGACCCAAUAGUGAUGUUUUGGUUCGUUUUGGUCAGUUUCGUUACUGUGCAAAAAACCAUGCAAAUGUUGCAUUUAAUGCACCCAUUCGGGUCGUUAACGAAACGACGCACAAUUUCGAUCCAGAAACGAAACGAACAGUCCCAAUCCACAUUUUUGGA
Molecule: unclassified non-coding RNA, 251 nt
Filed under: Hevea brasiliensis (rubber tree)
Lineage: Eukaryota; Viridiplantae; Streptophyta; Magnoliopsida; Malpighiales; Euphorbiaceae
Source: RNAcentral